ACAGCACCCGUCAGCUCUGCGUUUCCAGGCCCCCUCUGACAGACCGUGUUUGAGCAGGUUAGUGUUCUCCGAGGCUCUCUCAGCUGUGUUUGACCUCAUUGUAACUGGAGCCCGUGCAUGGAGCCCACCCCCAAAACUCCCCAAAACACGGUCUACAUCCCAAAACACACCCCAUUCCCUAUAUAGUGCACUACACAGAGGCCUGGUCAUAAGUAGCACACUGUAUAUUUGGAGAUUGGAUGCCAUUUGGGACACAGCCCUAUUGAGGCCCGUCCCAGCAGGUCCCUGUAUCCCUCAAGACAUGGACAAACCUACGAACACGAUAAAACGUGAUCCCUUCUCUUCCCUGGAAGAGAAACAGAUGUUUUACGACUGUUAAAGAGAAAACGUCUCUCUCUUUGAAAAGACAUUUCACAACGUUUUGGCACCUUUUGAAACUAGGUUUAUAUGAGCCUGCUGGGGGAUGUCUGUGUAAUGUGACGCUGAACAUUUGCUUAUAGUUUGUUAUUGUAGUGUAAUAAUGGGUCAGAGACAGACAGUUGAAGUUAGGACCUGGAACAUAAUGUAAUACUGGGACGUCCAGAAGUAUUGGGACAGUGACACGUAUUCUGGUUUUAGCGCUGUAUUCCAGCACUUUGAAACGAUACAAUGACUACGAGACUAUGAGGUUAAAGUGCAAACAUCGAAUUCGACAGUUGUGCAACUCUUACCAUCACAAACAUUGAUAAAUGACUGUUGGGGUUAGCUGAUUACACACAUGGAUUUGAUUUGUGGGCUGUAACUCAGUCUCUGGCUGGAUAUCACUCCAGGUUGGGGGUUUGACUAGCCAGGCCUGAGUGGAUAUCACACCAGCCCCAGGUGGGGGUUUGACUAGCCAGGCCUGAGUGGAUAUCACACCAGCCCCAGGUGGGGGUUUGACUAGCCAGGCCUGAGUGGAUAUCACACCAGCCCCAGGUGGGGGUUUGACUAGCCAGGCCUGAGUGGAUAUCACACCAGCCCCAGGUGGGGGUUGACUAGCCAGGCCUGAGUGGAUAUCACACCAGCCCCAGGUGGGGGGUUGACUAGCCAGGCCUGAGUGGAUAUCACACCAGCCCCAGGUGGGGGGUUGACUAGCCAGGCCUGAGUGGAUAUCACACCAGCCCCAGGUGGGGGUUUGACUAGCCAGGCCUGAGUGGAUAUCACACCAGCCCCAGGUGGGGGGUUGACUAGCCAGGCCUGAGUGGAUAUCACUCCAGCCCCAGGUGGGGGUUUGACUAGCCAGGCCUGAGAGGAUAUCACACCAGCCCAGGUGGGGGUUUGACUAGCCAGGCCUGAGUGGAUAUCACACCAGCCCCAGGUGGGGGUUUGACUAGCCAGGCCUGAGAGGAUAUCACACCAGCCCCAGGUGGGGGUUUGACUCGCCAGGCCUGAGAGGAUAUCACACCAGCCCCAGGUGGGGGUUUGACUAGCCAGGCCUGAGAGGAUAUCACACCAGCCCCA
This is a long non-coding RNA of Oncorhynchus keta (chum salmon), 1479 nucleotides long. RefSeq lists it as uncharacterized. The transcript has 3 exons. Lineage: Eukaryota; Metazoa; Chordata; Actinopteri; Salmoniformes; Salmonidae. The record is from RefSeq and is a predicted model, not a curated record.